This is an RNA transcript of Lotus japonicus, 4254 nucleotides long. It is a transcript of the gene named pentatricopeptide repeat-containing protein At1g62590-like, with no coding region annotated. The record is from RefSeq and is a predicted model, not a curated record. NCBI's taxonomy places the organism in Eukaryota, Viridiplantae, Streptophyta, Magnoliopsida, Fabales, Fabaceae. The transcript is spliced from 3 exons.
UUCAACCUACGUUUGUACCAAAAAAACUUCAACCUACGCCACUCCACCAAUGCCACGGUGAAUCUCAGUUCAAGUCGCUAAGUUUGCUUGUGAGUUGUGAGGUUCGGAAUCGGCGUAGUGAUUAAUCUUCACUAUCCAGUUGUGCACAAUGUCAGUUUUAAGGUAUAGGUGGUUUCAUCGUAAUCCCACUUUUCUUCUAGCAAUGCCCUUUUCAUCCCUUCACUCUCACUCUCACUCUUUGCCUAAUGAUGCUGUGUGUUUAUUCAAUCGCUUGUUACAAAUGCGUCAUACCCCUUCCAUCAUUGAAUUUAACAAGAUUCUUACUCCUCUCGUGAAGACGAAGCAUUACUCCAUCGCCAUAUCCCUUUCUCACCAAAUGGAAUUUAGGGGAAUCAUGCCUGACAUCGUUACUCUCAACAUCUUAAUCAACUGUUACUGCCACCUAGGUCAAAUGUCUGUUGCCUUUUCUGUUUUGGCCAAGAUUCUCAAGAGGGGUUAUAAGCCAAAUACAAUCACCUUCACUACCCUCAUUAAAGGUCUCUGUCUUAAUGACCAGGUUAAGAGAGCACUGCAAUUUCAUGACGAGCUGCUAGCACAAGGAAUUCAAUUGAACCAAGUUAGCUAUGGGAUCUUAAUCAAUGGGCUGUGUAAAGUGGGACAAACAAGAGCUGCCCUGCGAUUGCUGAGACAGAUUGAAGGGAAAUUAGUUCAGCCUAAUGUGGUCAUGUACAACACAAUCAUUGAUAGCCUCUGCAAAGAUAAACUUGUAAGUGAAGCUUGCGAUUUAUAUUCGGAAAUGGUACUCAAGAGAAUUUCUCCUACUGUUGUCACUUUCAAUGCUCUAAUUUAUGGCUUUUGCAUUGUGGGUCAAUUGAAAGAAGCAGUUGGUUUGCUAAAUGAAAUGGUGUUGAAAAACAUCAACCCAAUUGUUAAUACUUUUACUAUUCUGGUUGAUGGGUUAUGUAAGGAAGGAAAGGUGAAAGAAGCUAAAAAUGUGUUAGCUGUGAUGAUGAAAGAAGGUGUAAAGCCUGAUAUUUUCACUUACAAUUCUAUCAUGGAUGGGUAUUGCCUAGUUAAAAAAGUGAACCAGGCUAAAGAUGAAUUCAACUCUAUGACUCAGAGGGGAGUCGCUCCUGAUGUUUGCAGCUACAAUAUCAUGAUUAAUGGAUGCUGUAAGAUUAGAAUGGUGCAUGACGCUCUGGAUCUCUUUGAAGAAAUGCAUUCCAAAAAUCUGAUUCCUGAUACAGUAACUUACAGCUGCCUUAUUGAUGGUCUGUGCAAAGUAGGGAGAAUAUCUUGUGCUUGGGAGCUUGUUGGUAAAAUGCACGACAGAGGUCAACAAGCCGAUGUAAUCACUUACAAUUCUUUAUUAGAUGCUCUAUGCAAGAAUCAUCAUGUUGACAAGGCAAUUGCAUUACUUGAGAGAGUUAAAGACAAGGGCAUUCAACCAGAUAUGUACACAUACAAUAUAAUUAUUGAUGGACUAUGCAAAAGUGGAAGACUAAAGGAUGCACAAGAGGUUUUUCAGGAUCUUUUGAUUAAAGGCUAUCGGCUAAAUGUUGUGACAUAUAAUAUAAUGAUCAAUGGGCUUUGUAUAGAGGGUUUGUCCGAUGAAGCACUGGCCUUGCUAUCAAAAAUGGAAGACAAUGGCUGUGUUUCUGAUGCUAUAACUUAUGAAACAAUUAUUCGGGUUCUCUUUAGAAAAAAUGAGAAUGAUAAAGCACAGAAACUUCUUCAUGAGAUGAUUGCUAGAGGUCUGCUUAAGAGUGAAGUCAAGUGAGGUGCUUUCCAGUUAGACUUUGUUACUUUGAAUAUUCAUGAUGGACAUCCAGUCUUUUUCAAUUAUAUUUUGAAUUUGAAUUUUUAUUUUUUAUAAUUUGUUAGAUGUAUGAUUCGUUGAUUAGUUGUUGUGGUUAUUUCUGUUUAGUCUUCAGUUAUACUUUCUGUUAUGCUUAAUUGGCAUAUCAUAUGCUGUUAAGAUAGUAGGCUUUUAGCUUUCUGUUAUUCAGUUAUGCUUUGCUCAAUAGUUAGUUAUUCUAGUAGCUUCCUGCUGAAGCUAAUCAAUCUAUAAAUGUUACCAAUGAUAGUAGGCUUUUGGCCUUUGUUGCUGUUGCAAACCCACACUCUAGGCCCAGAUUUGGCAAAGUCUAUGAGAGGAGGCCCAAGCAAGGGACAGCUGUACCUGAAGAUCCACCUUCUAGAAGCUUGGAUCCCAAGAUAACCGACUAAUGAGGUGGCAACACACACAUGGGUGAGGGGGGGACCAUAGGGUAUCAACCUAGGGAAUAUAUGUUGGUUUGGAGAGAGAGGAGGUAGGCAGAAAUUAGUCUGGACUGGGAGAGAUUGAGCACUCUCGAAUUGCUCAAGUUUAUCUUGUUAUUUUCUUCCUUGUAUUUCCCUAAACACUGCUUCUGGGUUCAUACCAGAGGAUUCAGUGCCUUAAUAGCAUUCAAUCUUCUUCUUUCCUAUUACAUUUUUCUGGUACCUAACAGUUGCCAAUACAGCUGAUGCUCCUUCAACUAAACAGAGCUGAUAAGCUGACUCAGGGGCUAGUAAUCAUGUUACCAAUGAUCCUCAGCAGCUCAUGGAGUCGAUUACUAUGGCUGGUCAGGAGCAAGUUUAUGUGGGCAGUGGACAAGAAUGCACCUCCUCAGGAAAAUCUAUUACAGAAUAAUGGAUCUCAAUCUGGACCGUCAUCUUCUCAAUAUCAACACCAGUAUCUUGAUUUUUCUGGUUUUUGUGGUAAUUCCUUUCGUGGACGUUUUGGCCGAGAAUGUCAAGUGUGCUAUAAGAAUGGACAUGCUUUUUCACUGUUAUAAUAGCUUUAAUCAUAAUUUUAUUUCACAGCAGCCAUCUUACUAUCACUCUGCUCAACAAUCUGUUCCUCAGAGUAAUUAUGGUCUGCCUUCUUAGUCUCUGGAACCUCACUAUGUCUUAGUAGUACCUUCACAACAGCAGAUACAACUUGUCCAACAUCAGUGCUUUCAUGAGUGUAUGGCAGCAACCUUCUGGAUUUAUUUUUAUGCCAGCAGGUCCUCAGAAUUUUUCACGACAGCAUUUUCAGCUUCCAUAGUCUUCUCCUGCUCCUAUGGCCUUUAUUUCCAAUAUAGCUGCUGCUCCUUCAACUACACAGAGCUGGUAAGCUGACUCAGGGGCUAGUCAUCAUGUUACCAAUGAUACUCACACCUCAUGGAGUCUAUUACUAUGGCUGGUCAGGAGCAAGUUUAUGUGGGCAGUGUACAAGGUCUGCCAAUUCUUUAUUGAGGCUUUACUUCAUUUUCUUCUUCUCUUCUUUCUUAUACUAAAUUGUCCCUCAAUGAUUUUCUUCAUGUCCCUACUAUUACUAAAAAUCUUGCUAGAGAUAAUUUCAUCUAUAUUGAGUUUUAUCCAUCUAAAUGUUUUUUGAAAUCUCAGGUCAACAACCAAAUUUUGUUUGAAGGAGCAGCCAACUCAAUGGGGCUUUAUGAGUUUCCUAGUUUACUUUGUAACUCCAUCUUCUUACCAAAUUCUAAUGUUUCUAAUUCAUUAAACUUUGCAUCUCCUUUGUGGAAGAACUGUGACUUGUUCAGAAGCAUUUUGACUCUGUCUUUGCUGGUGAAGCAUGUUGUGUGUAACCUCUAGUUCUCAUUUUCCUUAAAACUUCUGUUCAUAAUGACAUUGACUAUAUUUUCUAGUAAAGUGUGUUUCUUGUAUUUGUUCUCAUUUUCAUUGGACUUCUGUUCUGAAGCACAUGGACUCUAUCUUAACUAGUAAAGAACAUUUCAUGUUACUAACCUCUUUCUCAUUUUCAUUAGACCUGUGCUGCAUUUGGGUAAACACUCUGACCCUAAAUCAGUUGAAGCUGAAGCUUUUAAUAAACUGGGUCAGAACACCAAUGGUAGUUCUAUGAUUCUAUCAGUCUUUCCCACAGUCCUGAUGAAGGAAGUUCCAAAAUGGAUAAAGGCAUGGGACAGAAGAAAUAGACAUAGCAUAGAACGUUGUCUCUUACAAGGGAAAUAGACUGUUAAACAAGGCGGUUGCUGUUGCAGGGCUUCUAAUUUAGUUUUCAUGAGGUUAGCACUAGUAUGUUAUCCUUUUCAUAUCAUGAUCCGAUGUAAACCUUAGAUACUAUCACGGCAUAUAACCAUCUCUAUAAGAUUCAAAGUUGAUGCAAAGAACUAGUAUAUUUUAAGGGCUCACUUAAAUACAAAAGAAAAUUUAGGAGCUAAAUUACAAGCAACAAAUAUUAAUAUCAGGACCAAGUUGUUUACUUUA